Molecule: ribosomal RNA, 548 nt
Filed under: uncultured bacterium
Lineage: Bacteria
Description: bacterial SSU rRNA
Rfam family: Bacterial small subunit ribosomal RNA
Source: RNAcentral
GGGAAUCUUCCGCAAUGGACGAAAGUCUGACGGAGCAACGCCGCGUGAGUGAUGACGGCCUUCGGGUUGUAAAGCUCUGUUAAUCGGGACGAAAGGCCUUCUUGCGAAUAGUUAGAAGGAUUGACGGUACCGGAAUAGAAAGCCACGGCUAACUACGUGCCAGCAGCCGCGGUAAUACGUAGGUGGCAAGCGUUGUCCGGAAUUAUUGGGCGUAAAGCGCGCGCAGGCGGAUUGGUCAGUCUGUCUUAAAAGUUCGGGGCUUAACCCCGUGAUGGGAUGGAAACUGCCAAUCUAGAGUAUCGGAGAGGAAAGUGGAAUUCCUAGUGUAGCGGUGAAAUGCGUAGAUAUUAGGAAGAACACCAGUGGCGAAGGCGACUUUCUGGACGAAAACUGACGCUGAGGCGCGAAAGCCAGGGGAGCGAACGGGAUUAGAUACCCCGGUAGUCCUGGCCGUAAACGAUGGGUACUAGGUGUAGGAGGUAUCGACCCCUUCUGUGCCGGAGUUAACGCAAUAAGUACCCCGCCUGGGGAGUACGACCGCAAGGUUG